UCAUGAUCUCCACCAUCGUUUUUGAAAAGAAAACUGUCCUGCAAAGCCGGCGAAUGCCUGCCAUACCCACCUUUUAGUCCACAAACCCAUUUCUCUCUCUCUCUCUCUCAUCUCCAUUUUCUCUGGUUUCAUAAUCUUCCUUUGAUUUUCCUUUAAUUUAGGGUGGAUUUCUGAUAAAAUUAACGCAUAUGAUGGUUGAUUUUCGUAUGAUUUAGGGUGGAUUGCUGAUGGUUUGGUGGGGUUAUUGAUGUCGAAUGUGCCUCUAGGGUUUGGAUUUGCUAUGAAAUAGAACCAGGAUUGUAGAAAGAUGAAUCUGAAUGAGCUUAUGUUAUUAAGCAAGCGGUAAUGGAGGAUCUUUAAGGAAUCAAGGGAGUUUUCAUCUCGGUACCAGGCUGAUUCUUUUCUCUAUUUGGAGAACGAUGACCACGAUGCUGGCCAAAAACACACACACACAAGAGACACAAAAAAUGGAUCUGUCACAGAAGAGUUCUGCGUUAUCAGUAGUGCUUGCAGAAAAUUGUUUUUGACCCGUUCAUUCAGAGGGAUAAGGCAAGGAUGAAUUAGUUGGUUGAUGCGGCUUGUCUUUCUUUAGCUUCAAAAGUUAAAGAGAUCUAAGCCCUUUUCUAUUGGUGAAAGUGGUGGAGUCCAAGGUGAUGGUUUAGUUGCUAGCCUUGCACCACCCGAGACGGAGGGGUGGAGAAAGAAUGCUCAAGAAAAAGUGCUUCAAAUAGUAUUUAAGGUUGGAAGGGAUGGAAUUGAAGCGGGAACAAGUUUAGUGUCAGAUUCUAUUCCAAGACCAAUUGCUCGGGUAUCUGCGGCUGUAGUUGUGGUCACAGUUGCACUCUUUCUCCUCAAGUCAUUCUUAUCCACAACUUCCUUUUUUCGGAUAACUUAUGAAUGUGUUGACUUAAGUCAAUUUUUUUCGAACGGGCAACAAUGGGCCUAAUAUACUCGACGUUUAUCGCGUUAAAUAAGGAUGAAGGCCCCACAGAGGUGGUGGCAGCAACACCAAGACUUCCAGCAGCACCACGACCACCGCCUCAUCCGAUGAGGAGACCCUUGAAGAAGAUAAAAGAAUUAUGGAAAAGUAAAAAUAACUGAAUCAAUAGUCACUAGCUUUAAACAACCAUGCUUUUAAAAGGGGAAAUCUAUUGGCACACCAGCCAAACUAUCCGCACACUUUGCUUUUUCAAUACAACCCGUAUAGGUCUAUACGACCCGUAUUGAAGGUGUUGAUUUAAGGAUUCAGGUGUGACAAUAAUACGACCCUUUUAAAAUGCUUUAAAUGUAAAUAACUUUUGUAAGUCCAUGAACCCAUUUGUGUAUUGAGUUUACAUAUUCAUGUUUUCAAGAAAGGAUUAAAGGAAAUGGGUAUUAUCCUAGAUUUUAUUAAUAGAUUGGAUUAAUAACAACAUUUCAACAAAAUUUGUUAAAA
Molecule: RNA transcript, 1435 nt
Organism: Helianthus annuus (common sunflower)
Lineage: Eukaryota; Viridiplantae; Streptophyta; Magnoliopsida; Asterales; Asteraceae
Exons: 7
Source: RefSeq, a predicted model, not a curated record